CGAGUUUCUGCCGCUAUCUAUUUCCAACAAGAAUUAAGAUCUUCCGCUGUUAUGUUGGGCAAGUCUACAGAAUCGGCCGCAUCGGCGGAGGCAGCUUGGAAGUGAAGUUUUCUACCUUGGAAAAAUAUGGUUGUAGUUCUGAUGUUACUGUUGUGAUAACUGAGAUCAGGCAUAGAAUUCUUGAACCUACGAGUAAAAAAGAAUUAGGUGUUCGGAAAUUCGGUUGUCCUGGGAAAAUCUAGAUCAUGGAAGUCCACGAAGUGUUGGAGAGCUGAAGUAGGGAAGAUGGCCCUGCAAGAAGAGCAGAAACUUUGGAACUCAACAUGGGGAGUCAUAAUUAAGUGAAAAAUGAGUGACGCCGUAGAACGGAAGAUGGCCUGAUGUUCUCCGCACACUGCAAUAGGUGCUGCGGACUGUAAGGCGAGCUCCAGAGUUGCAGGUGUAGCAGAGAACAGAUGAAUGGAAUGUAAUGUACAGUUGAUUAUUUAGGAGAACUUACAGAGGAUCUUCAAUGUGGGCAUCUCUGAUCUCAUCCCCAAGAGUUGACAGAGGAUCCACUGAACGGGAGCGGGAAGCAGAGCGCUUUACUCCAAAUGGCAUGACGGCGUUGUAUUCUGGAUGGAUCUCAGGAGAGAAAACUCCACUGGAUAAACUGAUAACUACUAUUAGAUCAAAUAAACUAAAUUUUAAAAGAACUUUCUUUCUUUCAUUAAAUCUAAGACAUUUUAUGUAUUCAUACUUAAUCAACGUCGCCUUGAUAUUAAUUGCCACGCGGGACUUUUAUUCGUUGAUUAUUUUACGGCUGAACUAAUCCUUGGUUCAGUGAAAAUUCAAUUGAAAAGACUUAGACUAUAAAUAGAUAGGACAUUGAAA
Eurytemora carolleeae is the source of this 873-nucleotide long non-coding RNA. RefSeq lists it as uncharacterized. Lineage: Eukaryota; Metazoa; Arthropoda; Copepoda; Calanoida; Temoridae. The transcript is spliced from 7 exons. The record is from RefSeq and is a predicted model, not a curated record.